GAAAAUUAAUCUAGACUUUUUUAGUCUUGGAAUAAUGAGUUUUCCGCGUUACCAUAUGGUAAUUGGUCACUCGAAAUUAAUGUCAUGUCUUGGCUUGUAACAGACGCGUUUAUUUUAAAUUUUAAAUGUUCGCAACUAAUCAAGCCUUGUGUAAUGACAUGUUCAAUUUCCUCCUUUUAAAAGAGGAAGAAAUCGAACAACCAACUAUAA
RNAcentral lists this unclassified non-coding RNA (210 nucleotides) under Archaeospora europaea. RNAcentral's name for it is "partial internal transcribed spacer 2". The record is from RNAcentral. Lineage: Eukaryota; Fungi; Glomeromycota; Glomeromycetes; Archaeosporales; Archaeosporaceae.